GCCAGGGGGGAUACCCUCCGGCAGGGUACCCGCCGCAGCAGGGAGGUUACCCUCCACAGCAAGGAUACCCGCCUGCACCUGGAGCUUACCCACCUGCACCUGGGGCAUACCCUCCAGCACCUGGGGCUUACCCUCCUGCACCUGGAGCGGGAGGCCCUGAUGGGGAGAAGGGGCUCCUCUCCAACAUCAUGCACGGCGUUGCCGGUGCUCAUGGUGGUGGUCAUGGGUACCCGUCUGGUGG
This 241-nucleotide long non-coding RNA is filed under the name Triticum aestivum (bread wheat). RNAcentral's name for it is "long non-coding RNA (TAES_LNC000002)". Lineage: Eukaryota; Viridiplantae; Streptophyta; Magnoliopsida; Poales; Poaceae. The record is from RNAcentral.